GUGUUGUAUGAAAGGAAAGGAGGUUAGCACUCCCCUGGAUAAGGAUAGAAGAAGCAUUGGUCCUAACAACACACUGUUAAGGCAUUGCCACCUACUUCAUAGCAUCUAAACAUCAUUUUUGA
Molecule: small nuclear RNA, 122 nt
Organism: Phacochoerus africanus (Common warthog)
Lineage: Eukaryota; Metazoa; Chordata; Mammalia; Artiodactyla; Suidae
Source: RefSeq, a predicted model, not a curated record